GAUCCGGUAGUUCAAAGGAUAGAACCGGCGACUUCUACCCGUCACAUGCAGGUUCGAUUCCUGCCCGGAUCA
Molecule: transfer RNA, 72 nt
Filed under: Verrucomicrobiota bacterium
Lineage: Bacteria; Pseudomonadati; Verrucomicrobiota
Description: Verrucomicrobia bacterium (freshwater metagenome) tRNA-Arg
Rfam family: tRNA
About the family: Transfer RNA (tRNA) molecules are approximately 80 nucleotides in length. Their secondary structure includes four short double-helical elements and three loops (D, anti-codon, and T loops).
Source: RNAcentral